CCAGACUCCUACGGGAGGCAGCAGUGGGGGAUAUUGCACAAUGGGGGGAACCCUGAUGCAGCGACGCCGCGUGGGUGAAGGAGCGUUUCGGCGCGUAAAGCCCUAUCGGCAGGGAAGAAGAUGACGGUACCUGAGGAGGAAGCCACGGCUAACUACGUGCCAGCAGCCGCGGGAAUACGUAGGUGGCAAGCGUUGUCCGGAAUUACUGGGUGUAAAGGGAGCGUAGGCGGGACAGCAAGUCCAGUGUGAAAUCUAUCGGCUCAACCGAUAGCUGCGCUGGAAACUGUGGUUCUUGAGUGAAGUAGAGGCAGGCGGAAUUCCUAGUGUAGCGGUGAAAUGCGUAGAUAUUAGGAGGAACACCAGUGGCGAAGGCGGCCUGCUGGACUUUUACUGACGCUGAGGCUCGAAAGUGUGGGUAGCAAACAGGAUUAGAUACCCCCGUA
This 443-nucleotide ribosomal RNA is filed under the name uncultured bacterium. RNAcentral's name for it is "partial 16S ribosomal RNA". It matches the Rfam family "Bacterial small subunit ribosomal RNA", at positions 331 to 792 of the family's 1533-position model. The record is from RNAcentral.